Molecule: small nuclear RNA, 118 nt
Filed under: Cicer arietinum (chickpea)
Lineage: Eukaryota; Viridiplantae; Streptophyta; Magnoliopsida; Fabales; Fabaceae
Description: U5 spliceosomal RNA
Rfam family: U5 spliceosomal RNA
About the family: U5 RNA is a component of both types of known spliceosome.
Source: Rfam by way of RNAcentral
AGCCUUGUGGUGAGUACAAAGCGAACUAUUCUUUCGCCUUUUACUAAAGAAUACCGUGUGUUCACCGUAUUAAAAGGCAUAUGUCAAUUUUUUGAAGGAUUUCUUCUUUAUUGAAGAU